AAAUCGGUGGUCUAUAAGGAGAACCAAUAUAAAAUGUGCUAUCGGUGGUAUCUGGCACCCUCCAGACUGGCCAAUAUGUAUCCAAAUUUAAUCCACUUUGUUGGAAAUGUAAAAAAACAAAGGGUACCUUCUUCCACGCUUGGUGGCUAUGCCCGAAGAGUAAAAAAUAUUGGGAAAAAAUAUGAACAUGGAUACAGAAAUAAUAAAUAUUCAAUUGGAAUUUAAGGCUGAAAUCUUUUUGUUGGGAAUAAUAAAAGGUGAAUUCGCAAAAAAAAACAAAAUACUUAAUUUUACAUAUAAUCACUGCAGCAAGAAUAGCACUAGCACAAUGUUGGAAGGGUGAUCAAAUGCCAAUGGAUACUUUGAUAAUUCAGAAGACUAUACAGAA
Molecule: non-coding RNA, 388 nt
Organism: Notechis scutatus (mainland tiger snake)
Lineage: Eukaryota; Metazoa; Chordata; Lepidosauria; Squamata; Elapidae
Source: RefSeq, a predicted model, not a curated record